RNAcentral lists this ribosomal RNA (88 nucleotides) under Virgibacillus halodenitrificans. Its description in RNAcentral is "partial 23S ribosomal RNA". It matches the Rfam family "Bacterial large subunit ribosomal RNA", at positions 1 to 81 of the family's 2925-position model. The record is from RNAcentral. Lineage: Bacteria; Bacillati; Bacillota; Bacilli; Caryophanales; Bacillaceae.
UAAAAAUAGUUAAGUGAAUAAGGGCGCACGGUGGAUGCCUUGGUACUAGGAGCCGAAGAAGGACGGGACUAACACCGAUAUGUCUCGG